GCAGUGAUGUGGAGCGAAACUCAAAAAAAUAAGUCUCAGUUCGGAUUGAAGGCUGAAAUUCGCCUUCAUGAAGCCGGAAUUGCUAGUAAUGGCAGGUCAGCAUACUGCCGUGAAUACGUUCCCGGGCCUUGUACACACCGCCCGUCACACCAUGAGAGUUGGGAAUACCCGAAGCCUGUGAGCUAACAUUUAUGAGGCGGCAGUCGAAGGUAGAAUCAAUGAUUGGGGUGAAGUCGUAACAAGGUACC
RNAcentral lists this ribosomal RNA (248 nucleotides) under uncultured bacterium. RNAcentral's name for it is "partial 16S ribosomal RNA". It matches the Rfam family "Bacterial small subunit ribosomal RNA", at positions 1254 to 1500 of the family's 1533-position model. The record is from RNAcentral.